AUAUUUGGAAUUAAAGAAUAUUAUAUAAUAAUUAUUAUAUAAGUAAUCAAUUAAUUUAUUAAAUAUA
This 67-nucleotide transfer RNA is filed under the name Lichtheimia hongkongensis. RNAcentral's name for it is "tRNA-Tyr". The record is from RNAcentral. Lineage: Eukaryota; Fungi; Mucoromycota; Mucoromycetes; Mucorales; Lichtheimiaceae.